Molecule: ribosomal RNA, 603 nt
Filed under: Astrothelium flavocoronatum
Lineage: Eukaryota; Fungi; Ascomycota; Dothideomycetes; Trypetheliales; Trypetheliaceae
Description: eukaryotic LSU rRNA
Rfam family: Eukaryotic large subunit ribosomal RNA
Source: RNAcentral
ACCCCGCUGGAAUUAAGCAUAUCAAUAAGUGGAGGAAAAGAAACCAACCGGGAUUGCCUUAGUAACGGCGAGUGAAGCGGCAACAGCUCAAAUUUGAAAUCUGCCAUCCGGCUGAGUUGUAAUUUAUAGAGGAUGUUGUGGAAUCUGUAUGGACUCAAGUUCUUUGGAAAAAGACGCCAUGGAGAGUGACAGACUCGUACUUUCCAAUACAUUUUCCGUGUACAGCUCCUUCAAAGAGUCGAGUUGUUUGGGAAUGCAGCUCAAAAUGGGACGUAAAUUUGUUCCAAAGCUAAAUACCGGCUAGAGACCGAUAGCGCACAAGUAGAGUGAUCGAAAGAUGAAAAGCACUUUGAAAAGAGAGUUAAACAGCACGUGAAAUUGUUGAAAGGGAAGCUUGCGUCAUCAGCAAUGACGUCACUGUUCAGCCUUGGUGUAUUCAGUGCCCGUCAGGCCAGCAUCGAUUGGGGUAGUUGGACAAAAGUGUUGGAAAUGUAGCUCGUCCGCGAGUGUUAUAGUCCGAUACAGCAUGCAACUCAUCCCGAUCGAGGACCGCUUAAAGGAUGCUGGCAUAAUGAUGGCCCAAGGCCCGUCUGAAAACACGGA